CAGGGGUAUCAUGUGGUAGUGGUAAAAUUUAUAGUUGGAAUAAGGAGUUUGGUGUGAGAUGAAAUCUAGAGAUAAGGUAACAUGAUGCAAGACACAGUGGAGUUCAGAUGAUUGUUGUGAUGUAUGCAAUAAUCUAUGUAGAAAUGAUCUAUGAAGGUCACAGUUGCAGCUGAGAAGAAACCUGUGCUAUUAUUACAACUGGUAGAUAUGGGCUGAACUUAAGCUAAAUUUGCAAUUUUCUUCUAAACUCAGAUAAGCUGAAGAAGAUAAAAUGUUGAAGAGAACCUUGGGAGUGUAACUCAUUUUUUAAAACUGCAUUUACAGGAGUCCCUGAAUGCUUGAAAUGCAAGUAACUUUCUAGCUUACUGAUGUCAGUUUCCAAUUCACAAAUCCUUGUUCUCUUAAGAAAUGGCUCGGACUUAAUUGUGGUAGACGGAACCACCACACCAAUGCUCCUGUUCUUUCUGAUGCUAUUUCUAUCGUUACUUCUCAAGGAACAGCAUCCUUUGGUGUGUUCUGGGGUAUCUACAUGUACAAAGGUGCAUCGUCAUCCUUGAGAUCAGAGAUGUAAUCUGCACCCCUCUCUGCCAGCAUGUGAAGACCUCUUCUUUCAAUCCAUGUGCUUAAGUCUUUCUCUUGCAAAAUCUGAUUGCAAAUUUUAGUACAUCUCAAGUCCUCUGGAACACAAAAAGUACACAACAACUUGUGGUAGCAAAUUGAUUUCAAUUCAAGUCAAUUCACUUUUGAGUUUUUGAAAAGACUUAUCCAUGAUACUCUUGAUUCACUGCUUAAGUUCAUUGAUUUUUUAGGUCGAACACUUAGCAGAUAAUAUCUUUGGAAAAAAAGACUACAAGAACAGUACUUUCUCAGUAUUUGAACUUGAAAUGCAUGGCAGAACAUGUGAUUGAUAUGAAACAGGUGAGCUUUCAGAAGACCAGUGCAAAAUACAUAAUCAUAUUUUAAGGUGUUUUUUUUUGUUUAUUUGUUUGUUUUUAGUUGGUAUGGUAGACCUGCCACAAUUUGUCAGCAACUUAUUGUUUAAACACUAUAAUUAAUAACAAAAGACAUAUGACUCUACAUACAAUUCUGGACUCCCUCCCAUCAUGAUUAAAGUAUAAAACAACAAACAGAAUUUCACAUGUUAUUCUUUUCCCUUGAAGAUCAAACACUACAACAUCUCUUGGAUAAAAGGAAGCUAAAUAAAAUACAGACAUGUAAUAAAAAGUGCA
Molecule: long non-coding RNA, 1229 nt
Filed under: Coturnix japonica (Japanese quail)
Lineage: Eukaryota; Metazoa; Chordata; Aves; Galliformes; Phasianidae
Description: lncRNA (ENSCJPG00005007553.1)
Source: RNAcentral